GCGAGUCGAACGAAAAAUAAUUUUUCGUGGCGUACGGGUGAGUAAUACACAGGAAUCCGCCUUUUAGUUCAGGAUAAAAUUCUGAAUAACAAAAGAAAACUUUUCGCUAAAAGAUGAGCCUGUGUAGGAUUAGGUAGUUGGUAUUUGGGUAAGGGCCUACCAAGCCUAUGAUCCUUAGCUGUUCUGAGAGGUUGUACAGCCACACUGGGACUGAGACAAGGCCCAGGCUUCAUUUGGAGCCAGCAGUGAGGAAUUUUGGACAAUGAGCGAAAGCUUGAUCCAGCAAUACUACAUGAGUGAUGAAGGCUUUCAAGUUGUAAAACUCUUUGGUUGAGGAGGAUAAUGACAGUACUCAACAAAAUAGCCCCGGCUAACUUCGUGCCAGCAGCCGCGGUAAUACGAAGGGGGCGAGCGUUAUCCGGAAUGACUGGGCGUAAAGGGUCCGUAGGCAGCAUUUUUUGUUAGAGGUUAAAUAAAAAAGCUUAACUUUUUUCCGCUUCUAAAACGUAAAUGCUUUGAGUUUGAUAGGAGAUAGCAGAAUUUCACAUGGAGGGGUGAUAUCCGUAGAUAUGUGAAGGAAUACCAGAGGCGAAGGCGGCUAUCUAGAUCAAUACUGACGUUGAGGGACGAAAGCAUGGGGAGCAAACAGGAUUAGAUACCCUGGUAGUCCAUGCCCUAAAAGAUGAGUGCUCGUGCUUAGAUAUUUUUAGGCACUUAGUUAACACGUUAAGCACUCCGCCUGGGGAGUACGACCGCAAGGUUGGAACUCAAAGGAAUUGACGGGGGCCUAUACAAGUGGUGGAGCAUGUGGUUUAAUGCGACAAUACGCGCGAAACCUUACCAGUUCUUGACAUAAAAAAAGAAAAAGUUUGAAAGGACAAUUUUGAAGAUUUUUACAGGUGCUGCAUGGCUGUCGUCAGCUCGUGUCGUGAGAUGUUAGGUUAACUCCUUUUAACGGGCGAAACCCCUUUUCU
RNAcentral lists this ribosomal RNA (974 nucleotides) under uncultured eukaryote. RNAcentral's name for it is "bacterial SSU rRNA". It matches the Rfam family "Bacterial small subunit ribosomal RNA", at positions 57 to 1111 of the family's 1533-position model. The record is from RNAcentral.